AACGCUAAUACCGCAUAAGACCACACUUCCACAUGGGAGAGGGGUCAAAGGAGCAAUCCGCUGAAAGAUGGGCUCGCGUCCGAUUAGAUAGUUGGGGGGGUAACGGCCCACCAAGUCGACGAUCGGUAGCCGGACUGAGAGGUUGAACGGCCACAUUGGGACUGAGACACGGCCCAGACUCCUACGGGAGGCAGCAGUGAGGGAUAUUGGUCAAUGGGGGAAACCCUGAACCAGCAACGCCGCGUGAGGGAAGACGGUUUUCGGAUUGUAAACCUCUGUCCUCUGUGAAGAUAAGACGGUAGCAGAGGAGGAAGCUCCGGCUAACUACGUGCCAGCAGCCGCGGUAAUACGUAGGGAGCGAGCGUUGUCCGGAUUUACUGGGUGUAAAGGGUGCGUAGGCGGGUAAGCAAGUCAGAAGUGAAAUCCAUGGGCUUAACCCAUGAACUGCUUUUGAAACUGUUUAUCUUGAGUGAAGUAGAGGUAGGCGGAAUUCCCGGUGUAGCGGUGAAAUGCGUAGAGAUCGGGAGGAACACCAGUGGCGAAGGCGGCCUACUGGGCUUUAACUGACGCUGAAGCACGAAAGCGUGGGUAGCAAACAGGAUUAGAUACCCUGGUAGUUCAUGCCGUAAACGA
RNAcentral lists this ribosomal RNA (633 nucleotides) under uncultured bacterium. RNAcentral describes it as "bacterial SSU rRNA". It matches the Rfam family "Bacterial small subunit ribosomal RNA", at positions 159 to 809 of the family's 1533-position model. The record is from RNAcentral.